RNAcentral lists this ribosomal RNA (400 nucleotides) under uncultured bacterium. Its description in RNAcentral is "bacterial SSU rRNA". It matches the Rfam family "Bacterial small subunit ribosomal RNA", at positions 123 to 541 of the family's 1533-position model. The record is from RNAcentral.
AAUCUACCUUAGUUACAGGGAUAGCCCGAGGAAACUCGGAUUAAUACCUGAUAUUCUUUAUAUUUCGCAUGAAAUUAAAAGGAAAGGUCAGCCGAACUAAGAUGAGCUCGCGUUCUAUCAGCUAGUUGGUGAGGUAAAAGCUCACCAAGGCUACGACGGAUAGCUGGUCUGAGAGGACGAUCAGCCACACUGGGACUGAGACACGGCCCAGACUCCUACGGGAGGCUGCAGCAGGGAAUAUUGCGCAAUGAGCGAAAGCUUGACGCAGCGACACCGCGUGUGGGAUGACGGAUCUAGGUUUGUAAACCACUUUCAGGAGGGAAGAAAAUGACGGUACCUCCACAAGAAGCCCCGGCCAACUACGUGCCAGCAGCCGCGGUAAUACGUAGGGGGUGAGCGU